CUGGUCUUAGUCAAGUGGUUACCACAACAGGUUCAAAAUCUGUUUAUCUUGAACUGCGCAGGCUCGAAACCUGCCGACAACA
Molecule: non-coding RNA, 82 nt
Organism: Suillus subluteus
Lineage: Eukaryota; Fungi; Basidiomycota; Agaricomycetes; Boletales; Suillaceae
Source: the annotation of a GenBank genome assembly